RNAcentral lists this ribosomal RNA (462 nucleotides) under uncultured bacterium. RNAcentral's name for it is "partial 16S ribosomal RNA". It matches the Rfam family "Bacterial small subunit ribosomal RNA", at positions 28 to 507 of the family's 1533-position model. The record is from RNAcentral.
GACGAACGCUGGCGGCGUGCUUAACACAUGCAAGUCGAACGGAAAGGCCCUUCGGGGUACUCGAGUGGCGAACGGGUGAGUAACACGUGGGUGAUCUGCCCUGCACUUUGGGAUAAGCCUGGGAAACUGGGUCUAAUACCGAAUAGGACCACGCGCUUCAUGGUGUGUGGUGGAAAGCUUUUGCGGUGUUGGAUGGGCCCGCGGCCUAUCAGCUUGUUGGUGGGGUAAUGGCCUACCAAGGCGACGACGGGUAGCCGGCCUGAGAGGGUGACCGGCCACACUGGGACUGAGAUACGGCCCAGACUCCUACGGGAGGCGGCAGUGGGGAAUAUUGCACAAUGGGCGCAAGCCUGAUGCAGCGACGCCGCGUGAGGGAUGACGGCCUUCGGGUUGUAAACCUCUUUCAAUAGGGACGAAGCGCAAGUGACGGUACCUAUAGAAGAAGCACCGGCCAACUACGUG